RNAcentral lists this ribosomal RNA (616 nucleotides) under uncultured Legionella sp. Its description in RNAcentral is "bacterial SSU rRNA". It matches the Rfam family "Bacterial small subunit ribosomal RNA", at positions 242 to 849 of the family's 1533-position model. Lineage: Bacteria; Pseudomonadati; Pseudomonadota; Gammaproteobacteria; Legionellales; Legionellaceae. The record is from RNAcentral.
UAGCUAGUUGGUGAGGUAAAAGCUACACCAAGGCGACGAUCGGUAGCUGGUCUGAGAGGAUGAACAGCCACACUGGACUGAGACACGGCCCAGACUCCUACGGGAGGCAGCAGUGGGGAAUAUUGGACAAUGGGGGGAACCCUGAUCCAGCAAUGCCGCGUGUGUGAAGAAGGCCUGAGGGUUGUAAAGCACUUUCAGUGGGGAGGAGGAUAUGUAGGUUAAGAGCUGACAUAUUGGACGUUACCCACAGAAGAAGCACCGGCUAACUCCGUGCCAGCAGUCGCGGUAAUACGGAGGGUGCGAGCGUUAAUCGGAAUUACUGGGCGUAAAGGGUGCGUAGGUGGUUAAUUAAGUUAGAUGUAAAAACCCUGGGCUUAACCUAGGACUGAGAUUUAAUACUGAUUAACCGGAGUAUGGGAGAGGGUAGUGGAAUUUCCGGUGUAGCGGUGAAAUGCGUAGAGAUCGGAAGGAACACCAGUGGCGAAGGCGGCUACCUGGCCUAAUACUGACACUGAAGCACGAAAGCGUGGGGAGCAAACAGGAUUAGAUACCUUGGUAGUCCACGCUGUAAACGAUGUCAACUAGCCGUUGGUCAUAUGAAAAUGAUAAGUGGCGC